GAUUAAAGUAACAAAGGGCACACAAGGGAUGCCUAGGUAGAAAGAGCCGAAGAAGGACGUGGUAAGCUGCGAUAAGCUUGGCGAAGUUGCAAACGAACGUGGAUGCCAAGAUCUCCGAAUGGAGCAAUCUGUAAAGAGUCAUGUCUUUACACGAAAGAGGGAACCGGGUGAACUGAAACAUCUAAGUAAUCCGAGGAAAAGAAAGUAACAACGAUACCCUAAGUAGCGGCGAGCGAACGGGGUAGAGCCUAAACCGUAUUCAUGUCAAGGAUGCAGCCGUUGUGGAUAUGGGGUAGCGGGAAAGAGAGAGAAAGAACUGCAAGCUAUUUCGCAGACGUAAGCAAAGGAACAAGAAAGAUCUGGAAAGGUCUACCGUAGAAGGUGAAAGUCCUGUAUUGGUAGUUUUCUUGCGCUGUAUCUCUUCUCCCAAGUAAUGUGGAACACGAGGAAUUCUGCAUGAAUCUGCGAGGACCAAAUCUCGUAAGGCUAAAUACUCUUUCUAACCGAUAGCGCAUAGUACCGUGAGGGAAAGGUGAAAAGAACCCCGGGAGGGGAGUGAAAGAGAACCUGAAAUUGUGUGCUUACAAGCGGUCAGAGCCACUUUGGUGGUGAUGGCGUGCCUUUUGGAGAAUGAUCCUGCGAGUUACGUUUCAUGGCGAGGUUAAGAAGAACGGAGCCGAAGGGAAACCGAGUCUGAAUAGGGCGCAAGAGUCGUGGAGCGUAGACGCGAAACCCGGUGAUCUAAGCCUGUCCAGGAUGAAGCUGUGGUAAGACACAGUGGAGGUCCUAACCCACCGCCGUUGAAAAGUUGGGGGAUGAGGUAGGUUUAGGGGUGAAAAGCCAAUCGAACCGGGAGAUAGCUCGUUCUCUCCGAAAUGCAUCUAGGUGCAGCCUUGCGUGUUUAAUGAUGGGGGUAGAGCACUGACUGAACUAGGGGGCAUAUAGCUUACUGAAUUCAAUCAAACUCCGAAUACCAUUAUUCAAGAGCGCAGGAGUGAGACCAUGGGAGUUAACUUCCAUCGUCGAAAGGGAAACAACCCAGACCACCAGCUAAGGUCCCAAAUCAUAUCUAAGUGGGAAAGGAGGUGGAGAUUCUUAAACAACUAGGAGGUUGGCUUAGAAGCAGCCAUUCCUUGAAAGAGUGCGUAAUAGCUCACUAGUCGAGAGUCUCUGCGCCGACAAUGUAACGGGGCUAAGAUAUGAACCGAAGCUGUGGAUGUCGUAAGACAUGGUAGGAGAGCGUUCUGUAGGCCGUCGAAGGAGGACUGAAAGGAACUCUGGAGGUAUCAGAAGUGAGAAUGCAGGAAUAAGUAGCGAGAAGGGGAGUGAGAAUCUCCCCCGCUGGAAGACCAAGGUUUUCAGGGUAAAGCUUGUCUUCCCUGAGUAAGCCGGGACCUAAGCCCAGGCUAGAAUGCGUAGGCGAAUGGAAAACAGAUGAAUAUUUCUGUGCCAGUUCUACUUUGUGAAGGAGGGACGCAGAAGGGUAUGCGCGCAGACGAACGGAAGAGUCUGUAGAAGCAUGUAGAGUGACUUGGUAGGCAAAUCCGCCAGGUUAGACUUGAGGUGUGACAUAUACUCGCAAGAGGAAUGCGCAAAUCCCACGCUGCCGAGAAAAGCUUCUAGCGGUAAAGUAGAGACUGCCCGUACUGGAAACCGACACAGGUGGUCAGGAUGAGAAAUCUAAAGCGGACAGGCUAACUCUCGUUAAGGAACUCUGCAAAAUGGCCCCGUAACUUCGGGAGAAGGGGUGCCU
Molecule: ribosomal RNA, 1753 nt
Filed under: Fusobacterium necrophorum BFTR-2
Lineage: Bacteria; Fusobacteriati; Fusobacteriota; Fusobacteriia; Fusobacteriales; Fusobacteriaceae
Description: bacterial LSU rRNA
Rfam family: Bacterial large subunit ribosomal RNA
Source: RNAcentral